UAACUACUCCCUCCGUCCCAAAAUUCUUGUCUUAGAUUUGUCUAGAUAUCUAAUACUAAAACGUGACUUGAUACAUCCGUAUUUAGACAAAUAUAAGACAAGAAUUUUGAGACGGAGGAAGUAUGUC
This is a non-coding RNA of Triticum aestivum (bread wheat), 127 nucleotides long. The record is from Rfam. NCBI's taxonomy places the organism in Eukaryota, Viridiplantae, Streptophyta, Magnoliopsida, Poales, Poaceae.